This 200-nucleotide long non-coding RNA is filed under the name Lathyrus oleraceus (garden pea). Its description in RNAcentral is "Pisum sativum (pea) long non-coding RNA (PSAT_LNC015020)". The record is from RNAcentral. Lineage: Eukaryota; Viridiplantae; Streptophyta; Magnoliopsida; Fabales; Fabaceae.
GUUAUGAACCGCUGUAAAUAACCGUAAGCCCAAACACUACCUUACCUUGCUCAUAUAAGUCUUGUUGAUAAGUGUUGUUGACUGUUGAUUUGUGGAAAAUUCUAGUUUUGGGGUUGGGACACCGGUAAGAACUAUAUAAGUGCGGAUGAAAAAAAAAUAUAGUUGUGAAACUUCAAUAAAAAAAAUAGAAUGAAAAAAAA